This 397-nucleotide ribosomal RNA is filed under the name uncultured bacterium. RNAcentral's name for it is "partial 16S ribosomal RNA". It matches the Rfam family "Bacterial small subunit ribosomal RNA", at positions 523 to 918 of the family's 1533-position model. The record is from RNAcentral.
AUACGUAGGGGGCGAGCGUUGUCCGGAAUGAUUGGGCGUAAAGGGCGCGUAGGCGGCGCGGUAAGUCUGGAGUGAAAGUCCUGCUUUCAAGGUGGGAAUUGCUUUGGAUACUGCCGCGCUUGAGUGCAGGAGAGGUUAUCGGAAUUCCCGGUGUAGCGGUGAAAUGCGUAGAGAUCGGGAGGAACACCAGUGGCGAAGGCGGGUAACUGGACUGCAACUGACGCUGAGGCGCGAAAGUGUGGGGAGCAAACAGGAUUAGAUACCCUGGUAGUCCACACUGUAAACGAUGAAUGCUAGGUGUAAGAGGUAUCGACCCCUUUUGUGCCGGAGUUAACACAAUAAGCAUUCCGCCUGGGGAGUACGGCCGCAAGGUUGAAACUCAAAUGAAUUGGCGGGG